Cinara cedri is the source of this 333-nucleotide non-coding RNA. Lineage: Eukaryota; Metazoa; Arthropoda; Insecta; Hemiptera; Aphididae. The record is from the annotation of a GenBank genome assembly.
GAACCACACCACCGUAGCGACGCAGCGGUGUACGGUGUACCGGGGCGGCCCGCGCGUAUUGUUCGUUACCGCGCGCGCGGUUGUUGUGUCACCACCUGACCGGCGAGCGAUGCGUUAAAGACGUCUCGCGACGACCGCUAAAAUACUCGACAGCGGCGGCGGCGGCGGCCCUCGACCGAUUCCGCGAACAUGUAAAACCUUCGUCCGGCCGCAGCAGCAGUAGUGUAAUAAUAUUAUAUAGUCUACUUAAAUCGUGCCGGGAAGAAAAUCCGUUUUUUUUUUUUUUUUCGGAUUUUGUUCCCUCGUACCCUUCUCGUCACGUCAUAUUUGUAC